RNAcentral lists this ribosomal RNA (462 nucleotides) under uncultured bacterium. Its description in RNAcentral is "partial 16S ribosomal RNA". It matches the Rfam family "Bacterial small subunit ribosomal RNA", at positions 28 to 507 of the family's 1533-position model. The record is from RNAcentral.
GACGAACGCUGGCGGCGUGCUUAACACAUGCAAGUCGAACGGAAAGGCCCUUCGGGGUACUCGAGUGGCGAACGGGUGAGUAACACGUGGGUGAUCUGCCCUGCACUUUGGGAUAAGCCUGGGAAACUGGGUCUAAUACCGAAUAGGACCACGCGCUUCAUGGUGUGUGGUGGCAAGCUUUUGCGGUGUGGGAUGGGCCCGCGGCCUAUCAGCUUGUUGGUGGGGUAAUGGCCUACCAAGGCGACGACGGGUAGCCGGCCUGAGAGGGUGACCGGCCACACUGGGACUGAGAUACGGCCCAGACUCCUACGGGAGGCAGCAGUGGGGAAUAUUGCACAAUGGGCGCAAGCCUGAUGCAGCGACGCCGCGUGAGGGAUGACGGCCUUCGGGUUGUAAACCUCUUUCAAUAGGGACGAAGCGCAAGUGACGGUACCUAUAGAAGAAGCACCGGCCAACUACGUG